Molecule: ribosomal RNA, 253 nt
Filed under: uncultured bacterium
Lineage: Bacteria
Description: partial 16S ribosomal RNA
Rfam family: Bacterial small subunit ribosomal RNA
Source: RNAcentral
GACGUAGGGCGCGAGCGUUGUCCGGAUUUAUUGGGCGUAAAGAGCUCGUAGGCGGCUUGUCGCGUCGACCGUGAAAACUUGGGGCUCAACCCCAAGCCUGCGGUCGAUACGGGCAGGCUCGAGUUCGGUAGGGGAGACUGGAAUUCCUGGUGUAGCGGUGAAAUGCGCAGAUAUCAGGAGGAACACCGAUGGCGAAGGCAGGUCUCUGGGCCGAUACUGACGCUGAGGAGCGAAAGCAUGGGGAGCGAACGGG